Molecule: long non-coding RNA, 3067 nt
Organism: Microplitis mediator
Lineage: Eukaryota; Metazoa; Arthropoda; Insecta; Hymenoptera; Braconidae
Exons: 3
Source: RefSeq, a predicted model, not a curated record
AUGCUGCUGCUGCUACUGCUACUACUACUGCUACCCUUCUCUAAUUCGUAUUUAGGUGUCGGCUGGGUUGCUAAGUGCGGGCGCAAUGCGGUGUCACGCUGCGGGCAUUUAGUCUCUUCACCCUAGUCACCUUCUUUUACUUCCGACCUAUCAAUCUUAUUUCCUCAUUCAUGCAGAUCCGUACAUAAUACUACAUCCUACAUCCUACAUACCACAUACCACAUAUAUUAAUCCGGAUAAAGAAUCGGUUGAUUUGAAUACGUGACAUUCGUGACGGGUAAUAACUUAUUUAAUCGUCAUAUCGACGAGUGCAAAGUUCAACAGAAUUGAGUAAUGGCAAUAAUUAUCGUCAAGAAUUCAUAGGUCAGAGAGUAUCGGCAACUACAAGAGUUUAUCAUUAAUAAUAAUAAUAAUAAUAUGAUAAAUAUUAAUAAAAAGUAACUUUCUUACGGGUCACAGUAUUCGUUCGGGGUCAGAGUGCUCCCGAGAGACCGGGUACGCUCUGCUCGAGUCUGAUAACGUUAAAAUAUUACAAGAUAACCCGUAAUACUGGCAAAUAUCAGAGUCUUAAAUAUUUCUUUCCUGCUUUUACUUGAACUUGUUGUGAGUAUGCAUGAUAUAUAAGACUUAAAAGUGACAACAAGUGAGAUAGAAAAAGACAUUAAAGAGGAAAAAUAAAAGAUUAUAGUUUUUUAAAAAAACUACUGGUCUUUCUUGUCACGUCCCACUGACAGUGUAACGUUUUAAUUUAAAAACUGCAACGUUCAGUAUACACCCGAGAUAAUUCAAUUUGUGAUAAUAGCAAGGCGACUAAGCCAUUCACAAAGUUUCCUUUUUUUUUCUCUUUUUGUCGCUUCCACCAGCAGUUUCAGAUACGAGUAAUUUAAAAAGAUCUUUUAUUUUACUUGCCUGGUUGUUCUUUUUCUGGUAACUUUACGGUUGGUUUUUUCUCUGGGGCUUUUGGUGAGCAAUUUUUACGUGCAGGCUUAACCGUUAAUGAUGGUGGUACCUGUAAUGACAGUAAUAAAUAUAAUUUAACAUAAUUUGUAUACUAAAAUAAUAAUAAAUAAUGAUAAUAAUUAAACAAACCGCUUUUUCAGAACGUUCACCAGAUGGCAAUCUAGCAAUAGCAGCAUCCGGACUGUCUUCCGGAGGCGGAGGUUGUACAAUCCAAUUAUACUCUCUCUUUUCAACAGGCAGACCCCACCUCUCGUAUUCUAAACUUUGUGUCCUUAAUGUCUCGUAGCAAUCCAAGCAUACAACUGCAAAAUCACCGUUCUCAAGAAGCAAACUUUUUUCCGGUUGACGAUGAUACCUCAAGAAUGGAAAGUCCUUAACAGGUAGUGCUCUCACUCUUUUCCGAUAUGUUGUAAUACCACAGACGUAACACCAGUAAUCGUGGGUAUUAUAUUGCCUGUCAGAUGCAUUUAUCUGCUGGCCAGUAGACUGUGAUUCGUACUUUCGCCAUUGCGCCAACAAUGUGUGAUAACAAAAAGUACAAACAAGUGCCGAGCCGUCUUCGCGUAAUUGUUCGGCAUUUUUUGGCGACUGAUGACGAAGUAGUUCAGGAAAAAAUGGCGCAUUACGACCUUGGGGUCUGCUAUACAGUACACGUGCUAACGUUAAAUCACUAUGAAGACCACAGAAAAAACAGUAAAUCGAGCUGCUUGAUGCACCAGGAUUGCUGAUAAACGUACGAUCUGAAUUUGAACUUGGCGGUGUGGCAAUUGCACGAUUAACAUCGCCGUUUGGAUGUGGACUAGGAAUAUCAUAUCUGUCAUGAAAAAAAAUUAUAUUCUGUUAAUUAAACGGGAUUCCCAGGCGGCUUAAUACGCCAGUACUUGUGCAUAUCAAUAAAUAUGCAGACAGAGAUGGAGAUCGAGAGAGAGAGAGGGAAUAAAAAAUAAAAUAAGUACCUUCGUUGCUCGAGAGGAAUGCGGUCGGCAUCCAUAGACUCCCACUGCUGAGCUAAGUGAUUGACACAGUGACUACAGGCUAAAACUCUGCCAUGGCUGUCCAUGCAGGAAUUUUCAGAAGUACGUGCCAUCCCUCUCAAACAGGGAAAGUGCAUAGCAUGUGAAUUCAUACCUUCAGGACUCGUUGAUAGCCUAAAAAUAAAUAAUAAUUUAACAAUGUAUAUUGAAUAUAUAUGAGGAGUAUUAUAUAUUUUAUUACUCACCACUCCAUUUGGUUUCGAGGAUACAGUCGCUCACAAAUAUAGCACCGAUAAUUUUGUCCAACUGUUACAUUACCAUUUUCCGCUGGCGCAUUACUCGGUGAAUUUCGCUGAGUUGAACUUGCGAUUUUAACAUUGGCACUACGUGGUUUAUUACUCACAACGCUUGUUGUUUUAUUUAAAUCAUAUGGUUUAAAUCGAAUAUCGCUGCCAGCUGAAUUUGCUGGUGAUUUUGCGACAACAGGUCGUGGAGAUGGCCCUGCAAUAACAAUUUUAUAUAUUUUUAAUUUAUCUCUAUUGCUUUCCAAGCUCAUUAUCACGCUCAUUAUCAUUAAUUGACAUUACAAUGAGCUGAUAAAUAUGUAAGUUUCAAAAUAACAAACCUUGCUGACGAAAAUCAGUACCCUGCUGGGCACUUAUCGACUGAGUUUCAUUAUUUUCUCCACCAAAAACCUGCUGUUUUUGGGGUAUGGCUUUAUAACAGAUGGAACAAACUUGUACCAUCCCCUGAGGACUUAUAGGACUAGCUCCUGGUGGCGCUCGUAUCGUAGUAAUAAACGGAAAGUAUGCCUCCUUCUCCGGAUUCGGACAGCAAUACAACAGUCUAAUACUGGACGAGGGAUACUCCAAUGCACACGUAUAGCAGAUAAAUGUCGUCGGGUCAACUGCCGGUGCUUGACGUUUCCUUAACGUGUAAUUACGUUCGCUGUGCGGUAUACCCUGUCGGGUGUACGUUUUCCACUGGAGUAACAGUUUAUUUUACCUGGACACGCCCGGCACUGUCCAUCGGCCGGCUUUUGCUCGGCCGCGGAUGCAACAUCAACGAGGGGAAAAAUGGCGGAGGACUACUCGAAGGAUGCGGUGGAGUUGGCAGUGGCUUGGCUGCUAUAU